Molecule: ribosomal RNA, 492 nt
Filed under: uncultured bacterium
Lineage: Bacteria
Description: partial 16S ribosomal RNA
Rfam family: Bacterial small subunit ribosomal RNA
Source: RNAcentral
AGUGAACGCUGGCGGUAGGCCUAACACAUGCAAGUCGAACGGCAGCACAGUAAGAGCUUGCUCUUACGGGUGGCGAGUGGCGGACGGGUGAGGAAUACAUCGGAAUCUACUUUUUCGUGGGGGAUAACGUAGGGAAACUUACGCUAAUACCGCAUACGACCUACGGGUGAAAGCAGGGGAUCUUCGGACCUUGCGCGAUUGAAUGAGCCGAUGUCGGAUUAGCUAGUUGGCGGGGUACAGGCCCACCAAGGCGACGAUCCGUAGCUGGUCUGAGGGGAUGUUCAGCCACACUGGAACUGAGACACGGUCCAGACGCCUACGGGAGGCAGCAGUGGGGAAUAUUGGACAAUGGGCGCAAGCCUGAUCCAGCCAUGCCGCGUGGGUGAAGAAGGCCUUCGGGUUGUAAAGCCCUUUUGUUGGGAAAGAAAAGCAGCAGGUUAAUACCCCGCUGUUCUGACGGUACCCAAAGAAUAAGCACCGGCUAACUUCGUG